GAUGAACGCUGGCGGCGUGCCUAACACAUGCAAGUCGAACGGAACUUCUUCGACAGAAUUCUUCGGAAGGAAGUUGAUUAAGUUUAGUGGCGGACGGGUGAGUAACGCGUGAGUAACCUGCCUUUGAGAGGGGAAUAACUUCCCGAAAGGGAUGCUAAUACCGCAUGACGCAUAUUUAUCGCAUGGUAGAUAUGCCAAAGAUUUAUCGCUCAAAGAUGGACUCGCGUCCGAUUAGCCAGUUGGCGGGGUAACGGCCCACCAAAGCGACGAUCGGUAGCCGGACUGAGAGGUUGAACGGCCACAUUGGGACUGAGACACGGCCCAGACUCCUACGGGGGGCAGCAGUGGGGGAUAUUGCGCAAUGGGGGAAACCCUGACGCAGCAACGCCGCGUGAAGGAUGAAGGUUUUCGGAUUGUAAACUUCUUUUAU
This 430-nucleotide ribosomal RNA is filed under the name uncultured bacterium. Its description in RNAcentral is "bacterial SSU rRNA". It matches the Rfam family "Bacterial small subunit ribosomal RNA", at positions 28 to 439 of the family's 1533-position model. The record is from RNAcentral.